UACGCAGGGGGCGAGCGUUGUUCGGAUUUACUGGGCGUAAAGGGCGCGCAGGCGGUCUUGUUUGUCGAGUGUGAAAGCCCCGGGCUCAACCUGGGAACGGCGCUCGAAACGGCGGGACUAGAGAUCGGGAGAGGAGCGUGGAAUUCCCAGUGUAGAGGUGAAAUUCGUAGAUAUUGGGAAGAACACCGGUGGCGAAGGCGGCGCUCUGGACCGAGACUGACGCUGAGGCACGAAAGCGUGGGGGAGCAAACAGG
RNAcentral lists this ribosomal RNA (254 nucleotides) under uncultured bacterium. Its description in RNAcentral is "partial 16S ribosomal RNA". It matches the Rfam family "Bacterial small subunit ribosomal RNA", at positions 524 to 776 of the family's 1533-position model. The record is from RNAcentral.